RNAcentral lists this ribosomal RNA (741 nucleotides) under uncultured bacterium. RNAcentral describes it as "bacterial SSU rRNA". It matches the Rfam family "Bacterial small subunit ribosomal RNA", at positions 60 to 761 of the family's 1533-position model. The record is from RNAcentral.
AGUCGAGCGAGCUUGCCUAGAUGAUUUUAGUGCUUGCACUAAAUGAAACUAGAUACAAGCGAGCGGCGGACGGGUGAGUAACACGUGGGUAACCUGCCCAAGAGACUGGGAUAACACCUGGAAACAGAUGCUAAUACCGGAUAACAACACUAGACGCAUGUCUAGAGUUUGAAAGAUGGUUCUGCUAUCACUCUUGGAUGGACCUGCGGUGCAUUAGCUAGUUGGUAAGGUAACGGCUUACCAAGGCAAUGAUGCAUAGCCGAGUUGAGAGACUGAUCGGCCACAUUGGGACUGAGACACGGCCCAAACUCCUACGGGAGGCAGCAGUAGGGAAUCUUCCACAAUGGACGAAAGUCUGAUGGAGCAACGCCGCGUGAGUGAAGAAGGGUUUCGGCUCGUAAAGCUCUGUUGGUAGUGAAGAAAGAUAGAGGUAGUAACUGGCCUUUAUUUGACGGUAAUUACUUAGAAAGUCACGGCUAACUACGUGCCAGCAGCCGCGGUAAUACGUAGGUGGCAAGCGUUGUCCGGAUUUAUUGGGCGUAAAGCGAGUGCAGGCGGUUCAAUAAGUCUGAUGUGAAAGCCUUCGGCUCAACCGGAGAAUUGCAUCAGAAACUGUUGAACUUGAGUGCAGAAGAGGAGAGUGGAACUCCAUGUGUAGCGGUGGAAUGCGUAGAUAUAUGGAAGAACACCAGUGGCGAAGGCGGCUCUCUGGUCUGCAACUGACGCUGAGGCUCGAAAGCA